This is a non-coding RNA of Gossypium hirsutum (cotton), 142 nucleotides long. The record is from Rfam. NCBI's taxonomy places the organism in Eukaryota, Viridiplantae, Streptophyta, Magnoliopsida, Malvales, Malvaceae.
UGUUAAAAUUUUCAUCCAUUUUACUGUUAAAAACUAGAGUAGUUGAUGGAAUAACCUGAGUGUGACAUAUGGCGUGUCACGUGUACCUUAUGGUGACAUAUAGGGACCAGUUUUUAACAAUAGAAAUGAGUAAUUUUUAAUA